AUGGAAAGCGGCGGACGGGUGAGUAACGCGUGGGCAACCUGCCUUUCACAGAGGGAUAGCCAAAGGAAACUUUGAUUAAAACCUCAUAAAGCUGGAAUAGUGCAUAAUAUACCAGCCAAAGAUUUAUCGGUGAAAGAUGGGCCCGCGUCUGAUUAGCUAGUUGGUGGGGUAACGGCUCACCAAGGCGACGAUCAGUAGCCGACCUGAGAGGGUGAUCGGCCACAUUGGAACUGAGACACGGUCCAGACUCC
This 251-nucleotide ribosomal RNA is filed under the name uncultured Eubacteriales bacterium. RNAcentral describes it as "uncultured Clostridiales bacterium partial 16S ribosomal RNA". It matches the Rfam family "Bacterial small subunit ribosomal RNA", at positions 88 to 339 of the family's 1533-position model. The record is from RNAcentral. Lineage: Bacteria; Bacillati; Bacillota; Clostridia; Eubacteriales.